UCUCUUCAUCUCUCCUUCUCUCUCUUUCUCUUUGACGCUCUCUCUAAGUUCUAUGGCAUGAUUCGUUGUUCUGUUCUAAUGAGUAUGGAAGAAGCAACGACGGAAGAGUCAUUCGUUAGUACGAGAGAGGCGGAGACGAAGACGAGACUCGCCGAUCCAAACCACCUUACGUUUCAUUUCUUCCUUCGUUGGUGUUUCAGUUUUUGAUUCUAUGAUUUGCUUUCAGUUUCGUUGAUUUCGUUACAACAACAGUUUAAUUAGGGUUUCAGUUUCUUAGAUUUCGAUUAUCUCAUCUGACAAAUUAGAGUUUGAUUUUAAAAUCCAAAUUAGGGUUUCGAAAUGAAUUGGGGUUUUCAGAUCUCUGGUUUGGAUUUUUUUUGUUCUGAG
Molecule: long non-coding RNA, 387 nt
Filed under: Capsella rubella
Lineage: Eukaryota; Viridiplantae; Streptophyta; Magnoliopsida; Brassicales; Brassicaceae
Description: long non-coding RNA (CRUB_LNC000758)
Source: RNAcentral